UUUAUUAGGGGUUAGAGCAUCCGCCUCGUAUGCGGGAGGUCGUGGGUUCGAUCCCCAGUCGAGUCAUAACAA
This is a non-coding RNA of Potamilus streckersoni, 72 nucleotides long. NCBI's taxonomy places the organism in Eukaryota, Metazoa, Mollusca, Bivalvia, Unionida, Unionidae. The record is from the annotation of a GenBank genome assembly.